RNAcentral lists this microRNA precursor (94 nucleotides) under Canis lupus familiaris (dog). Its description in RNAcentral is "mir-8799 microRNA precursor family". It matches the Rfam family "mir-8799 microRNA precursor family". Lineage: Eukaryota; Metazoa; Chordata; Mammalia; Carnivora; Canidae. The record is from Rfam by way of RNAcentral.
GGGGUGAGCGCUGGAUGCUCGGCUGUGUCCCCGGUGCCCUGUGCUCCUGGGCCUGCGCUGUUGGAAUCGCGCUCCCGGCUGCGCAGCGCAGCCC